This 500-nucleotide ribosomal RNA is filed under the name uncultured bacterium. RNAcentral's name for it is "partial 16S ribosomal RNA". It matches the Rfam family "Bacterial small subunit ribosomal RNA", at positions 29 to 523 of the family's 1533-position model. The record is from RNAcentral.
AACGAACGCUGGCGGCAGGCCUAACACAUGCAAGUCGAGCGGCAGCGGGACCUUCGGGUUGCCGGCGAGCGGCGGACGGGUGAGUAAUGCCUAGGAAUCUGCCUGUUAGUGGGGGAUAACGCGGGGAAACUCGCGCUAAUACCGCAUACGUCCUACGGGAGAAAGCGGGGGCUCUUCGGACCUCGCGCUAACAGAUGAGCCUAGGUCGGAUUAGCUAGUUGGUGGGGUAAUGGCCCACCAAGGCGACGAUCCGUAACUGGUCUGAGAGGAUGAUCAGCCACACUGGAACUGAGACACGGUCCAGACUCCUACGGGAGGCAGCAGUGGGGAAUAUUGGACAAUGGGCGAAAGCCUGAUCCAGCCAUGCCGCGUGUGUGAAGAAGGUCUUCGGAUUGUAAAGCACUUUAAGUUGGGAGGAAGGUCUGUAAGCUAAUAUCUUGCAGUCUUGACGUUACCAACAGAAUAAGCACCGGCUAACUCUGUGCCAGCCGCCGCCGUAA